UUGAAAGUUUUUCUUUAGAGAAACAGGUACAGCAUGGGCAGUGGCUGAGUCAGCUUCCCACACCCUAUCCUGCUAAUGUGCCUCAGGCUCAUCCUGAACAGGUGAGAGGGCAGUUCAAUCUCUGGCCAUU
Molecule: small RNA, 130 nt
Filed under: Chelonoidis abingdonii (Abingdon island giant tortoise)
Lineage: Eukaryota; Metazoa; Chordata; Testudines; Testudinidae
Description: TUC338 (ENSCABG00000010986.1)
Source: RNAcentral